Molecule: non-coding RNA, 21 nt
Filed under: Mus musculus (house mouse)
Lineage: Eukaryota; Metazoa; Chordata; Mammalia; Rodentia; Muridae
Also listed under: 1 other name
Source: RNAcentral
GUUAAUGUAGCUUAAUAACAA